GGACUACCAGGGUUUCUAAUCCUGUUUGCUCCCCACGCUUUCGCGUCUCAGCGUCAGUGUCCGUCCAGGUCGCCGCCUUCGCCACUGGUGUUCCUCCCGAUAUCUACGAAUUUCACCUCUACACCGGGAAUUCCGCGACCCUCUCCGGCACUCAAGCCCAACAGUUUCCCGCGCACUUCCCUGGUUAAGCCAGGGGAUUUCACACGAGACUUUUUAGGCCGCCUACAAGCGCUUUACGCCCAAUAAUUCCGAACAACGCUAGCACCCUCUGUAUUACCGCGGCUGCUGGCAC
This 292-nucleotide ribosomal RNA is filed under the name uncultured bacterium. RNAcentral's name for it is "partial 16S ribosomal RNA". The record is from RNAcentral.